GGGGGCUGCUGGGCAGAGGGUUAUCUCCUGUACUUAUGCCGAGGGAGCAGAUCCUUGCUUUCAGUCCCCAGUAUGGUGGGGAGGUGGUUGCUUCUCUCCAUGGGUACAUGAACAUGCUGUCCUCUCCUGAAGGGGUGAUGACAGAGUUUGCAGCCCCUUUGACACAGCUAGAAGAAGGGAAUGCCUAAUCCAUGUCACACCUCCAGCUCAUACCAGGGCAUGUGGGCCUGAAUUGUCAACAAACUUAAAUGCGUAACCUGGGUGUCACAGGCAAAGAGAAAAGUUUCAGGUGUUCAAGGAUGCAACCAUGGAAUAAUGG
RNAcentral lists this long non-coding RNA (319 nucleotides) under Gallus gallus (chicken). RNAcentral describes it as "lncRNA (ENSGALG00010014615.1)". The record is from RNAcentral. Lineage: Eukaryota; Metazoa; Chordata; Aves; Galliformes; Phasianidae.